AUUCUUUUCGUUCUUUUCAACUUUUUCCUCCUCACUCCACUCCCCCACUUCACCAUCAAUAUUAUCCUCCAAUAUUUCCUCCUCAUUUUCUUCUUUUUCCUUUCUUUGUUCACUCUCAUCUCUUUUUUUAUUCUCACUAGUCAACUCCCUCCCACUUCUUGUCGUGAUCGCUUUACAAUGUUCCUUAGGAUUUGUUUACGUGUUCGCCGAAAAAGAAGGACCGGGUUGUUGUUCCGCUAGUUGCUUAGCGAGUUGUCCAACUUGAGUCUCG
This 271-nucleotide long non-coding RNA is filed under the name Lathyrus oleraceus (garden pea). RNAcentral describes it as "Pisum sativum (pea) long non-coding RNA (PSAT_LNC021066)". The record is from RNAcentral. Lineage: Eukaryota; Viridiplantae; Streptophyta; Magnoliopsida; Fabales; Fabaceae.